RNAcentral lists this ribosomal RNA (289 nucleotides) under uncultured Planctomycetaceae bacterium. Its description in RNAcentral is "partial 16S ribosomal RNA". Lineage: Bacteria; Pseudomonadati; Planctomycetota; Planctomycetia; Planctomycetales; Planctomycetaceae. The record is from RNAcentral.
CUACCCGGGUAUCUAAUCCCGUUCGCUCCCCUGGCUUUCGUGUCUCAGCGUCAGACGAGACCCAGUGUGCCGCUUUCGCCACCGGCGUUCCUUCCAAUAUCAACACAUUUCACCGCUCCACUGGAAGUUCCGCACACCCCUAUCUCACUCAAGCCAGUCAGUUUAGAGCGCAAUGCCUCGGUUAGGCCGAGGCCUUUCACACCCUACUUAGCUGGCCGCCUACACACCCUUUAAGCCCAGUGAUUCCGAAUAACGUUCGCACAGUACGUAUUACCGCGGCUGCUGGCAC